RNAcentral lists this transfer RNA (72 nucleotides) under Ovis aries (sheep). It matches the Rfam family "tRNA". Rfam says of the family: Transfer RNA (tRNA) molecules are approximately 80 nucleotides in length. The record is from Rfam by way of RNAcentral. Lineage: Eukaryota; Metazoa; Chordata; Mammalia; Artiodactyla; Bovidae.
UCCCUGGUGGUCCAGUGGUUUAGAAUCUACCUUCCAAGGCAGAGGAUACAGGUUCAAUCCCUGGCCAGGGAA